This 231-nucleotide ribosomal RNA is filed under the name uncultured bacterium. RNAcentral's name for it is "partial 16S ribosomal RNA". It matches the Rfam family "Bacterial small subunit ribosomal RNA", at positions 103 to 334 of the family's 1533-position model. The record is from RNAcentral.
CGGGUGAGUAACACGUGAGUAAUCUGCCCUUCACUCUGGGAUAACUGCCUGAAAGGGUGGCUAAUACCGGAUAUUCUCCUUGCACCGCAUGGUGUGGGGUGGGAAGAUUUUUUGGUGGGGGAUGUGCUCGCGGCCUAUCAGCUUGUUGGUGGGGUAAUGGCCUACCAAGGCUUUGACGGGUAGCCGGCCUGAGAGGGUGACCGGCCACACUGGGACUGAGACACGGCCCAG